UGUGGGCGCUGGCUUGUCUGCGAUGCAGGUACCUCGGUUGUUCAGAGACUCCGAGGUGAUGCUAUCGCAGGCAAGCCAGCGCCCACA
This 87-nucleotide non-coding RNA is filed under the name Pseudomonas lurida. The record is from RNAcentral. Lineage: Bacteria; Pseudomonadati; Pseudomonadota; Gammaproteobacteria; Pseudomonadales; Pseudomonadaceae.